RNAcentral lists this transfer RNA (64 nucleotides) under Valvata hokkaidoensis. RNAcentral's name for it is "tRNA-His". The record is from RNAcentral. Lineage: Eukaryota; Metazoa; Mollusca; Gastropoda; Valvatidae.
AUUAAAUUAGGUUAAUAAUAAACCAUUGAUCUGUGGAGUCAAAAAUAUAAAUUUAUAUUUAAUC